Molecule: long non-coding RNA, 556 nt
Filed under: Musa acuminata (dwarf banana)
Lineage: Eukaryota; Viridiplantae; Streptophyta; Magnoliopsida; Zingiberales; Musaceae
Description: long non-coding RNA (MACU_LNC001006)
Source: RNAcentral
AUCAUUUUCUUUCCCAGUUUGCCCAUCGACAACCUGAAAUGUCUUCUCCACCCCCAUACCUUCCUCCUGUAGAGGCCUCCGCCGAUCGGAAAAGACGCCGCGACGAGAUGGUGGAGAUAGAGGAGGAGGGGGAGUCGCCGGAGAUCUCCUCGCCCGAGGCCAAGCGCCUCCUCCUCGACAUCCUUGACGAUGACGCCGAUGCCGGAGACCAGGACCUCGCCUCCGUCAUGAAGAGCCUCGAGGAGGAGAUCGCCCUCCCCUCGCCGCCUCCGCAACCGCAGCUGCUCCCUCUGGCCGCGGUGGACCAGCCCGACCUAGGGUUCCUCUUCGAGGCCUCCGACGACGAGCUCGGCCUGCCGCCCCAGGCCGACGAGCGCUGCGAGGCACCCGAGCCGGAGGUCGCCGAGGAGAGCGCCGGGUUUGGCCAGAUCUGGGGGUUCGACGACGGCGACCUGUGCGGAUACGAAGGGUUCGAGUUCGGGAUCCGGCCGGAGGAGCGGGCGGAGGCGGACGACGGGGUGGUGUUCGACGGCGGGCUGUUUGAUUACGCCGACGU